RNAcentral lists this transfer RNA (64 nucleotides) under uncultured Prevotella sp. It matches the Rfam family "tRNA", at positions 5 to 66 of the family's 71-position model. Rfam says of the family: Transfer RNA (tRNA) molecules are approximately 80 nucleotides in length. Their secondary structure includes four short double-helical elements and three loops (D, anti-codon, and T loops). The record is from RNAcentral. Lineage: Bacteria; Pseudomonadati; Bacteroidota; Bacteroidia; Bacteroidales; Prevotellaceae.
CCGUAGCUCAAUGGAUAGAGCGUCUGCCUCCGGAGCAGAAGGCUGCAAGUUCGAAUCUUGUCGG